This 208-nucleotide ribosomal RNA is filed under the name uncultured bacterium. RNAcentral describes it as "partial 16S ribosomal RNA". It matches the Rfam family "Bacterial small subunit ribosomal RNA", at positions 335 to 537 of the family's 1533-position model. The record is from RNAcentral.
ACUCCUACGGGAGGCAGCAGUGGGAAUAUUGGACAAUGGGGCACCCGUAGCAUCCAGCGAUGCCGCGUGUGUGAAGAAGGCCUGAGGGUUGUAAAGCACUUUUAGUGGGAGGAAAGUUACAGGUUAAGAGCUAGUUAAGUUGACGUUACCCACCAUAAACAGCACCGGCUAACUCCGUGCCAGCAGCCGCGGUAAUACGGGGUGGCAG